AUUUGGUUGCCUUUCCCGGGGAGAGGUGGCAGGUGCUCAGCUCUGCAGGCGUGGGGGCAAGGAAGGACCAAGCAGCCCGAGAAGAGCAGAGGUGCCCCAUGGGGACCACGAUGACUUGUCACAUGUGCACCAAAGCCAGCCCAAGGCAGGGCCUGUGCAGGGCUUCUGCGGAGCCCUCCUGAGGCUCUAACAUCUAUGAGUGGGCAGCCAGCAUAGGCGCAGGCCCCUGCAGAGAGGAACAGAGACGCCAGGAACACGCUGUCGUCCAAUGCCAGCCCCAAGCGGGGCCUGCUCUGGGUGCAGUGUUGGGAGCAGUCCUGCAGCUCUGAGAUCCAUUAGUUGGAGGUGGGAGAAGUGCCAGAUUCCACUGAUUUGGAACCUGCCCAGUCUGAUUCCGGAGCCGUGACUUACAGCAUAUUGGCUACCAGAAGACACCCAAAGGUUGGCCAAAAACAAAGUUUUCAAAAUACAAAAUGGAUGCUAAGAUUUCAUUACGGUAGACGAAAUGUCUGACAGCUCUUGUAUUUAAACCUACAAGUGGAUCCAGCUAAGAGUGCGGAGGGAGAAGCCGUCCUGCAGCUCUGAGAUCCACGAAGUAGAGGUGGUAGUAGCACCGGACCCCACUGCUUUGGAGCCUGCCCAAUCGAAUUUGGGAGCCAGCGAGGUUCCUGACUGCAGCACAUUGGCCACCAGAAGACACACAAAGGUAGGGAGGCUUCGGAUACCACUUAAGUUUAGGAACUCCUCUGGUUGCUGCUGGCCCAAAGUUCCCCCAGAGGCAUUCAAGGCCUGGGGCUCCUGCCUCCUGCCCCUAGUUUGCUAUCCUAAGCCCAGGCCUCAAGCAGGAGGACUGGCUCUGCCUCACCUCCCCACCCCUUCUUUUUUCCCUGCUGUGUGCAGCCAGUUUCUUUCCUCCUACCUACCCCAAUGCCCAGUUCUGGGCACUCCACUUCUUCCCCUAGGCUGUCUGAAAACCACAUUUUUAGGAUACAAAAUGUAUGCUAUAGAUUUCAUUGCUGUAGAGGAAAUGUCUGACAGCUGUUGUAUUUAAACUUAAGUAGCCACACUGGGACUCAUAAUUUCAUAUCUUGAGUUCUAGACCAGAGCCCUCUCUCCUAAAGCAAUGUCAGAGGGUCAGAGGUAAUCUUCUUGAUUCUAAUAAUAAUAAAUGAUUUUUUGUACAGACAGGGUUUCACUGUGUUGCCCAGGCUUGUCUCAAACUCCUGGCCUCAACUGAUCCACCCAUCUUGGCCUCCCACUUUGCUGGCAUGAUAAGCAGGAACUACCACACCUGGCCUUUGGAGGUGCUCUAGCUUUGUGUGUUUUGGCUAAUCUUCCUGCACAGCUGUCAGUAAGAUGCUCCUGCAGUAUGGUUCCAAACCUUUCUACACAAUCCUGUGAUAUUUUUACAUGGAAGAGCCUUUUGUUUACUGCAGAGAAGCUAGACAAUUCACAGUUAGUAACCUAAGGCCUAGAAAAUUUUGUUUCUUGAUCAAAACAACUGUUUAUAGAUGCUUGUGGUCCAAAGAUGCAGAUUCCUAAUCAUAAAAAAGAAGAAGUGAUGUCCACUGCAGGCAACCAGGGAGGGAGUUUAGGAUUGUUCUGAGGCCGUGAAAGCCAUUGAAAUUCACCCAUAAGAAGGCAGAGCAAGGGAAUCCACAUGUCUUGAUCCCUCCAUGUGGAGGGUAUAAUUGGGUCUUCAUGAAGGUGCACCACCUUUGGGGUCAGAGAGAAUUGGAUUUGAAUCCCAGUUCCAACACUCACUACAAAGUGAUGGUGAAUGAGUUUUUAAAUCCUCUGAGCCUCAGUUUGCUCAUCUGUAAAAGAAGUGAUUCUUAUGAGGCUUGUAUUAGUUUAGUGUGUAAAAAUCUGGGAAUAAUGCCUGUAAUUUAAAAGACAGGUUGUUAUGAGGCUUCAAUAAGGUAAGUGUGUAAAAAUCUGGACACAAUGCCUUUAAUUUUGUAAUUGUACAAUAUAUGAAGGUGGAGGAUUAUUUUUCUCUCCUUUUAUUUUUAGAACAAGUUUAUACAAUUGGCAUUAUUCCUAUUUUUAAGAUAAUCAAAGGACCAACAAGUUGAAAUAAAUCACCAUACUCACAAAGCAGUUCACAAUAUAUUUACUGGGUAAUUGCUACUUAAAAGUAGCAAUGAUGAUCACAUUGAAAAUCUUGUAUUACGUGGUGGUUUUCUCUUCCACGAGCCUCUUCAUUUGUGGAAACCAUAGAGUCUAAGUUGCUCUAUAAAAGUGUUCAUUAGAAAAAUGUGAUGCACUUAGUGUAUAAAUUUUAGAAAAUUUCCACUGUUAGUCUUGUUAAUUUGAUUGAAUAUGUGCGUUUUGGAUUAUGAAUGUGAAUAUGUAUUGAUAUAUGAAAUAAGACUUGACAUCAUACAGUAAUCUCAGCUCAUGGCAAUGUUUUCUUCUGAAAACACCUGCUGAAAUCUGUAUUAUUUCUAGUUUCCAAAAAAAAUCAGUCACAACGGGGCCAAGGGGAUGUUUGAAUGUCAGAUACUGCAUGAGGCACAUUAGUGUACAGUAAUUUGCGCAUAAUUCAUAUUCAUAAUUCACAGUGAGGAAAUCUGAAAGUUGCUACCAGCUACUAAUAAAUGGAAGGUGGGGCGGGCUGCUGUGGGGAUG
Molecule: long non-coding RNA, 2634 nt
Filed under: Homo sapiens (human)
Lineage: Eukaryota; Metazoa; Chordata; Mammalia; Primates; Hominidae
Description: HSALNT0356926
Source: RNAcentral